This is an RNA transcript of Phymastichus coffea, 4428 nucleotides long. RefSeq lists it as uncharacterized. The transcript has 21 exons. NCBI's taxonomy places the organism in Eukaryota, Metazoa, Arthropoda, Insecta, Hymenoptera, Eulophidae. The record is from RefSeq and is a predicted model, not a curated record.
GACUGCUGGCGACCGCGCGCACUCGCGCGUACCUAGAACGAAGCCGGCGAGAAGGCCGACGUGGGCACGGGGCACCGGCUUCGCGCGAACUAGCCGCAGAGACGGGGAGGCGAGAGCGGCAGCGCGGGCGAAGGGCGCCGGGACGCUCGGGGGUUGCCGCGGCCUCCCCCACCCCACCCGGCUGUCAUCGUCGGGUCGCGCUGCGGCUGCGCGCCGCUCGCGCCUCUCGCCCGCGCUGCCCGUUUGCGCGUCGUUCUUGGCCUUCGUCGGCGCUCGACCGUACGACCGCUCGACCGCUAUCCGAAGUCUGGCACCAGAAUCCGACGAGCGCCGAGACACGCCGACGUCGCGCUUCGCCGACGGAGUUCUCGGCGGACCUCUUCGGUCGAAGCACGGGCGAGGGGCGGAGGCGCGCCGGCCUACGCACUACGGCCCUGCCGGAUCAAUAUAAGCCGCGGCCGGCGGCUCAGGCCGAAUAGAUGCGGCUGAAGCGACAGCGGCGCGGCGCCCUCGCGCUCGCCGCCUCGACCUCCCCACGAACGCGGCAACCACGACCAGUAAUUGUUAGAUAUUCGUAAUUUUUUACGAAACCCGUAGACAAAGCAAUUUCUUAAAAAUGGGCAGUAACGCAGAAACAAAAGCUAAGUAUGAAAGCUUAGUGAAAAGUGCAUCUGCGCUAUAUCUGGAAAAACAAUUUCAGAAAGCUCUAUUUUUUUACAAUGAUGCUCUUAAAGUAGUUACAGAAUCAAACAUGAGCAAAAUGGUGGUUUGUAUACUGAAAUAUAUGAUUUGUUGCUGCCUCUAUGAGUCUGAUAAACUAGAAGAUAUGGUAGAAGUUGUUAAUAUGUUGCAAACGAUGGAUAGGAGUAUUAAGAAUCGUUUUCCUGCUUUAUACUGUUUAUUAGCUCAAACCCACUGUAAGCUUUUUAGGUUCGAACUAGCGGAAAUGGAAUUUAGAAAUGCAGAUUUAAUCUUCACUAAGAAUCCAACAUUAGAAACAUUUUACAUUCCUGGAACUAAAAGUCCAAUCAGGCCAACAAGUAAGAAUGACGAAACAUGGUUAAAAAUCAAAGAAGAAUGUUUAGCUUAUCAUCAACCAGAUGCUAUUUGCAGUUAUCCAGAUUGUAACUAUGUUGCAAAACCAUAUGUUAUACCUAGCAAAAAUAUAUUUUUGAAAGAUCCAGCAUUUAAUGGCAUGGUUAUUGUUAACUGUAAUAAUAAGAACCAGCCAUGCGUAUUAAAAUUCCAUCAAUAUUGUUGGAAAAUGAAGAAAGAUGAGUUGUAUCCAAUAUCAAAAGUGUCGGACAAGGAUGUUUUAGGAGACAAAUGCUCUACUCCUAAUUGUUUAAAUGGUGAUACUGCUUGUGUUAUAUCAUCUAUUCAGGUAAUCGAUCAGAAAGGAGAAAUCAAAGCUCAUAUUAAGGAAAAUCCUUCUACUACAUGGCCUGUUAAACCUCAAGAUAAAAAUGACAAAAACACUUCCAAAGGGGCUAUUAAAAAGUUUAAACUUAAUCCAACUUCUAAAAAGUCUGGAAAUCCUAUUUCGAGUGAUUCUAUACAACAACAGUUGUUGGAUUCUUUAGCAAGAUCGAUAGCUACAGUACCAGAAGCAAAAGAUCUUUGCAACAAAGAUGAUGUUCACUAUUACAAUGAAUCACAAAUAAUAGUUGUUAAGGAUACAGUGGUGGAUGUAGAUUUCUCAAAUGAGAUUUCAGAAGUUGCCGGUGAAAAGAGUUUUUUGCUUUCCUUCUUUAUCGAUUAUAUUAAAAAGAAUCGUGUAACAAUUCAUGAUGUUUAUUCAAAAUUUAAUGAAUAUUAUCAAGACUUGCAUCUAAAAGAUUUGGAUAUAUUAGGUUUUUUACUACAAACAAAUAACUUUGAAAUACUAAGUAAUAAAGAUACUUCAUAUAACUCUGAUGUAUGUACCGAAGAAAUCAUAAACCAGUCAAAUGAUAAUUUCAAGGCACAAAACUUUGAUGAUGACAGCGCAUCAUAUAUUGACGAUGUUUAUUAUGAAUUAAUGAACGACAAAGAUGAAGUGUUUGUAGAUUCUGCCGAAAAUACAGAGCAUAUACAAAAUUUUAAUUUACAGGAACCUAAUUUCAAUAUAAACUUGUCUGACAAUUAUAAAAAUCAUUAUGAUUUUAAAGUCGACGAUUUUGUUCAUGAUAUAGUUGAUGGUAACGAUGUAAUGGAACAUACGAAGAAUAUUACAAAUUCAUUCACACCUCAGUCACUUGAGUCGUGUGCGAAGUUUGAUUUCAUGCAAGCUCCUCCAAAUUUCUCUAAAGGACAUGAAAAUAAUCAGCUAAAAGAUUACAUAACUAAACUCGAAAGUGAUAUGGAAAAAAUAAUAGAUGAAAAUGCUAACCUAAGGAAAGAGAUUGCAAAUAAAGACUCCAAUAUAGAAAAUUUCAAAAAAGAAUACAACAGUUAUCAAGAAAAAAUAAAGCAAUGUGAACAAUUGUUUGAAACAAUGACUGACUUUCAAAAAGGUUACGAUAACAUGAAAGAAGAAAAUUUCAAAACUAAAGAAGAACUUGUAAAAGUAAUGAAAGAAAAGAUGGACUUGGAAGCAAAAUUAGAAGAGCUUGAGGAUCCUGAGGCUAAGCGUACAGAGUUUAUGAAGUUAUUCCAAGAAGAAUAUAUACUGUUGCAACAAGCUGUUAACGAGGAAUGGGAAAGCAAAACGGAUAUCUUAACAAAAUCCUUGAAAGCGGAAAUUGAAACUAAAAUGGCAUUGCUGAAUAAAUUAUUGAAUACUCAGUACUCAAGCAAUAAACAUAUACUCGCAGGAUACCUUGAUCAGUGCUCCGACUUUGUGGAAAUCACUGACAAAGUGAACGCUUGGAUGGAAAAGACUAUGAACAUCAAAAGUUUCUUCGACAAUUCCAAGUGGCUGACAAGAUUGGAAUUACUCCAAGCGGCUGCAAAUGAACUUAAGUCGGAAUACUCGAAAGUACUGAAUGAACUACAUGAUGAUAAAGAGGACAAGUUCAAAAUGACCGACAUCAAUCUGAAAACUCCAGCGAUUCCAAAUGCUCCCUGCGAGAAACUGUGCGACGUUGUUCUUAGCGUUUUGACGACAUGCUGCAGACAUCAUUAUCAGAUGAUGCAGGGUUACGUGCUUAAAGCGCAGGCAGCUACGCAAGCGGCUACGCAGGCGAUGCAGUACCAAAUGCAUUCUGCUGCUCAGUCGCAGACCUACAGUCCCAUACAGGCGGGAUACGUGCAGCAGUAUCCCUAUGCACCAGUUUACACCGGUGGCCAGUCCACUGUGCCAACUACACCCCUGGUCGGCAUCUCUCCCAUACCGAUUUAUCAUCAGACGACACCACGGACUGCCGGCCCUCCACCGAAUUUAACUCUUCAGCAGGCUAUUCCAGCAUCGCAACUGCCGUCAUUAACAACUAAGAGUCAAGCUUCUGCUUCAGUAGACGAUCACAAGGUUGAACAAGCUGAGCCUAUUGGCAUUGAGCCAAGCGUGUCAGUCAAAGCUACCGUCGAAACUCCGACCAGUAAGGACAAAGACAAAGAGAAUGCUAUUCCUGACUUGGAAAAGUUGACCAAGGAAGGUGAAAAGAUCGACACUUUCAAGGACAAAUUAGCGCAGAUGAGAGAAGCCUUUAAAACGAUUGCUUUGAACGUCAAGGAAAAAUCGAAAUCUGAAAAAUCUACUGCUGAAGUGGAGCACAAAGAGAUGGAGACGGCAGCCUCCGAGUCGUUAGUCAAAGACGAACAGCGAAAUCUCGAAAAAUCAUCCGAGAACGUUAUAGUACCAAUUACAAAGAUGGCAAAUCAAGUUAAAGACGACAAAGUUGAUUCUGCUAUAAAAACUGUAACAAAUGGGUAUAGCAUCAAAGAUUCAGUAUCUAUACGUGACGAUAGAUCUGAUAUCACUACACUUACAACAAGAAACGAUUCCAAGCUGCAAAAGAAAGUUGGUAUGGAUGGAUUGGUAAAAAUGCUGUUAAAGAAAUUUCCUGGUGCAAUGGAGUGUGACGUCAUUGAAGCAAUUGCCAAGAUUCGAAAAGAGCGUAAUGAUGCGCUGACUGGUAUACCGGUCAGCCGAAUCAUGGAAGAGGCCAAGCCACAUAUCCAGCAAAGUCAGCGUUUACAUGAUUUAAAAAAAAGUAGUUACACAAUUAGUUUUCCAAAAGACUUUGAAUUAUCAAUUUCCUGGAAAAAAAGUUGAAAAAUCAUCAAAUAGAAGAAUAAGACAUUUAUUUUUAUGUCUUUAGAUAAUAAGAUAAAUUCUUGGUAAAUUUUGGAUUAUCAUUGAUACUCAGUUUUGUUUUCAGAACACGAAGCUGGAGUUAAAAUGUGAUUUAUGUUAGCUAAAUUUUUACGAACGAAGAUAACAAAGCACCAUAUUUUCGUACAAACAAUUCAACAUCUUUCUACAGGACAAUUAGACUUGAGUAGUGA